CGAACGUUAGCGGCGCGCCUAACACAUGCAAGUCGCACGAGAAACGGGGGCAACCCCCGGUACAGUGGCGCACGGGUGAGUAACACGUAGAUGACCUUCCCUGGAGUGGUGGAUAACCUGCCGAAAGGCGGGCUAAUACAUCAUGGGACCACAUGGUUUUGACCGAGUGGUGAAAGCGGGCCUCUGUUCACAAGCUCGCGCUCUGGGGAUGGGUCUGCGGCCCAUCAGCUAGUUGGUGAGGUAACGGCUCACCAAGGCAACGACGGGUAGCUGGUCUGAGAGGAUGACCAGCCACACUGGAACUGAGACACGGUCCAGACUCCUACGGGAGGCAGCAGUGGGGAAUCUUGCGCAAUGGGCGAAAGCCUGACGCAGCGACGCCGCGUGGGUGAUGAAGGCCCUCGGGUUGUAAAGCCCUGUGGGGAGGAACGAACCGUUCGGGGGUGAAUAUCCUUCGGGCUUGACGGUACCUCCUUAGCAAGCAUCGGCUAACUCUGUGCCAGCAGCCGCGGUAAGACAGAG
Molecule: ribosomal RNA, 522 nt
Filed under: uncultured bacterium
Lineage: Bacteria
Description: bacterial SSU rRNA
Rfam family: Bacterial small subunit ribosomal RNA
Source: RNAcentral